AAGCCGGGUAAUCGCUCUGCAUGUAUAUGCAGGGAGGAAAGUCCGGACACCAACAAGUACCGCGCUCAGCGAUCCUUCGGGCGAAGCUGAGGACCGGCCGGGGCGACCUGACCGGGACAGAGAGUGCAACAGAAAAUAAACCGCCCCGAUUCGUCGGGGUAAGGGUGAAAAGGUGAGGUAAGAGCUCACCGCCCCGUACAGCGAUGUCGGGGGCUAGGUAAACCUCGCGGGGUGCAAGCUCAUGCAGAUGGUAUGUGCCGCUUGUCGCAACGCCAUCGGGUGGAGUGCACCAGAUAAAUGAUUACCGAACCAUGCCCGGCAUGGGGAACAGAAUCCGGCUUACAGGCUUUUC
RNAcentral lists this RNase P RNA (352 nucleotides) under marine eukaryotic metagenome. RNAcentral's name for it is "Bacterial RNase P class A". It matches the Rfam family "Bacterial RNase P class A". From Rfam's summary of the family: Ribonuclease P (RNase P) is a ubiquitous endoribonuclease, found in archaea, bacteria and eukarya as well as chloroplasts and mitochondria. Its best characterised activity is the generation of mature 5'-ends of tRNAs by cleaving the 5'-leader elements of precursor-tRNAs. The record is from RNAcentral.